This 254-nucleotide ribosomal RNA is filed under the name uncultured bacterium. RNAcentral's name for it is "partial 16S ribosomal RNA". It matches the Rfam family "Bacterial small subunit ribosomal RNA", at positions 524 to 776 of the family's 1533-position model. The record is from RNAcentral.
UACGAGGGGGGCAAGCGUUGUUCGGAAUUACUGGGCGUAAAGGGCGCGUAGGCGGUCAGCACAAGUCAGUUGUGAAAUCUCCGGGCUUAACUCGGAAAGGUCAACUGAUACUGUGCGACUAGAGUGCAGAAGGGGCAACUGGAAUUCUCGGUGUAGCGGUGAAAUGCGUAGAUAUCGAGAGGAACACCUGCGGCGAAGGCGGGUUGCUGGGCUGACACUGACGCUGAUGCGCGAAAGCCAGGGGAGCGAACGGG